GACGAACGCUGGCGGCGUGCCUAAUACAUGCAAGUUGAGCGAUGAAGAUUGGUGCUUGCACCAAUUUGAAGAGCAGCGAACGGGUGAGUAACGCGUGGGGAAUCUGCCUUUGAGCGGGGGACAACAUUUGGAAACGAAUGCUAAUACCGCAUAACAACUUUAAACAUAAGUUUUAAGUUUGAAAGAUGCAAUUGCAUCACUCAAAGAUGAUCCCGCGUUGUAUUAGCUAGUUGGUGAGGUAAAGGCUCACCAAGGCGAAGAUACAUAGCCGACCUGAGAGGGUGAUCGGCCAGAUUGGGACUGAGACACGGCCCAAACUCCUACGGGAAGCAGCAGGAGGGAAUCUUCGGAAAUGGACGAAAGUCUGACCGAGCAACGCCGCGGGAGGGAAGAAGGUUUUCGGAUCGUAAAACUCGGUUGGUAGAGAAGAACGUGGGUGAGAGUGGAAAGCUCAUCAAGUGACGGUAACUACCCAGAAAGGGACGGCUAACUACGUG
RNAcentral lists this ribosomal RNA (497 nucleotides) under uncultured bacterium. Its description in RNAcentral is "partial 16S ribosomal RNA". It matches the Rfam family "Bacterial small subunit ribosomal RNA", at positions 28 to 507 of the family's 1533-position model. The record is from RNAcentral.